CAGCCGCCACGGUAAUACGAGGGGAGCUAGCGUUGUUCGGAAUUACUGGGCGUAAAGCGCGCGUAGGCGGCUUUUUAAGUCAGAGGUGAAAGCCCGGGGCUCAACCCCGGAAUUGCCUUUGAAACUGGAAAGCUAGAAUCUUGGAGAGGUCAGUGGAAUUCCGAGUGUAGAGGUGAAAUUCGUAGAUAUUCGGAGGAACACCAGUGGCGAAGGCGACUGACUGGACAAGUAUUGACGCUGAGGUGCGAAAGCGUGGGGAGCAAACAGGAUUAGAUACCCGGGUAGUCCCUGUCUCUUAUAC
Molecule: ribosomal RNA, 301 nt
Filed under: uncultured bacterium
Lineage: Bacteria
Description: partial 16S ribosomal RNA
Rfam family: Bacterial small subunit ribosomal RNA
Source: RNAcentral